CCUACGGUAGGCAGCAGUGGGGGAUCUUGCACACUGGGCGAAAGCCUGAUGCAGCGACGCCGCGUGAGUGAAGACGGUCUUCGGAUUGUAAACCUCUGUCUUUGGGGAAGAAUAGAGACGGUACCCAAUGAGGAAGCUCUGGCUAACUACGUGCCAGCAGCCGCGGGAAUAUGUAGGGAGCGAGCGUUGUCCGGAAGUACUGGGUGUAAGGGGAGCGUAGGCGGGCUUGUAAGUUGAAUGUCUAAUCCACCGUCCCAACCGGUAAUCGCGUUCAAAACUGAAGGUCUUGAGUGAAGUAGAGGCAGGCGGAAUUCCUAGUGUAGCGGUGAAAUGCGUAGAUAUUAGGAGGAACACCAGUGGCGAAGGCGGCCUGCUGGGCUUUAACUGACGCUGAGGCUCGAAAGCGUGGGGAGCAAACAGGAUUAGAUACCCCGGUAGUC
Molecule: ribosomal RNA, 440 nt
Filed under: uncultured bacterium
Lineage: Bacteria
Description: partial 16S ribosomal RNA
Rfam family: Bacterial small subunit ribosomal RNA
Source: RNAcentral